Molecule: long non-coding RNA, 767 nt
Organism: Mobula hypostoma (lesser devil ray)
Lineage: Eukaryota; Metazoa; Chordata; Chondrichthyes; Myliobatiformes; Myliobatidae
Exons: 3
Source: RefSeq, a predicted model, not a curated record
AGAAAAAGGGCCUGAAGCAAAAGUUUGGGCACCCUGCAUGGUCAGUACUUAGUAACAUCCCCUUUGAAGGGAAUGAGCCUAGGAUCUAUUGCACAGCUGGAAGAGCCAAGUUUCAAGGAUUCAGGUUUGAAGAUGCCAGAAACGGCCAGAAGUAAAAAUGUAACAAUUUCACUACUUACCACAAGUUAGGACCUACAAAGAAUUUUAAGGUAUCGACAAUCAUCUUGAAUGCUACAAUGAAAAUGAAGAUUUGAACAAUGCAUUCAUUGAAAGCAUUGUAUGAACUUUUAGGGAGUAUUCUGAAGUUAUGUGACUAUAACAGAUUUUAAUUCAAACAAGAGCCAGUCUUCAUUUCUGAUUGUAAGUAUAAGUAGGUUCAGGAAUCUUACAAUUAGUCUUGAAUUUUUAUUGUAAAUUGCAAGCAGUAAAAUGCAGUUAAAAGCGCACAGAGUAAGAGAUACGGUGUGCAAAAUGGUGACAAUGAUACAUUUGCAUUUGUAUAAAUCAAACAUUAGGACAAUGGGGUUGUGUUACUUGCCCUGCAUCAACUAUGGGUUUAAGGAAUUUGCACCAUUGCAAAUGUAAAUAAGGUCAGAGAAAUGUCCCAGACAAGGUAUAUGAACAUUCAGAGGUGUCUGGAAAUUGUAGGUUCGCAACUUGAAGGAAGCAUUGUCAACCAGAAAUAUUGAGCUUAAUGAUGUCAUUGUAACUAUUGAAGCUAUAUGAAUCACCCGCGGUUACCAUUGAUCUUAAGGGUAUAAAAUGUG